Molecule: ribosomal RNA, 292 nt
Filed under: uncultured prokaryote
Description: partial 16S ribosomal RNA
Rfam family: Bacterial small subunit ribosomal RNA
Source: RNAcentral
GUGCCAGCAGCCGCGGUAAUACGGAGGAUGCGAGCGUUAUCCGGAUUUAUUGGGUUUAAAGGGAGCGUAGGUGGGAUAUUAAGUCAGCUGUGAAAGUUUGGGGCUCAACCUUAAAAUUGCAGUUGAUACUGGUUUCCUUGAGUACGGUACAGGUGGGCGGAAUUCGUGGUGUAGCGGUGAAAUGCUUAGAUAUCACGAAGAACUCCGAUCGCGAAGGCAGCUCACCGGGCCGGAACUGACACUGAUGCUCGAAAGUGCGGGUAUCAAACAGGAUUAGAAACCCUUGUAGUCC